UUUCCAAAGUUUGCAUGUUAACUUUAAAUGCUUACAAUCUUAGAGUGGUAGGCAAUGUUUUACAUUAUUGACCUUAUAUAGGGAAGGGAGGGGGUGCCUGUGGGUUUUUAAAGAAUUUUCCUUUGCAGAGGCAUUUCAUCCUUCAUGAAGCUGUUCAGGAUUUUGAAUUGCAUAUGAGUGCUUGGCUCUUCCUUCUGUUCUCCUAACUUCACAGAGAAUGCAGUUGUCUUGACUUCAGGUCUGUCUGUUCUGUUGGCAAGUAAAUGCAGUACUGUUCUGAUCCCGCUGCUAUUAGAAUGCAUUGUGAAACGACUGGAGUAUGAUUAAAAGUUGUGUUCCCCAAUGCUUGGAGUAGUGAUUGUUGAAGGAAAAAAUCCAGCUGAGUGAUAAAGGCUGAGUGUUGAGGAAAUUUCUGCAGUUUUAAGCAGUCGUAUUUGUGAUUGAAGCUGAGUACAUUUUGCUGGUGUAUUUUUAGGUAAAAUGCUUUUUGUUCAUUUCUGGUGCUGGGAGGGGACUGAAGCCUUUAGUCUUUUCCAGAUGCAACCUUAAAAUCAGUGACAAGAAACAAAUUCCAAACAAGCAACAGUCUUCAAGAAAUUAAACUGGCAAGUGGAAAUGUUUAAACAGUUCAGUGAUCUUUAGUGCAUUGUUUUUGUGUGGGUUUCUCUCUCCCCUCCCUUGGUCUUAAUUCUUACAUGCAGGAACACUCAGCAGACACACGUAUGCGAAG
This 730-nucleotide long non-coding RNA is filed under the name Pan troglodytes (chimpanzee). RNAcentral's name for it is "lincRNA". The record is from RNAcentral. Lineage: Eukaryota; Metazoa; Chordata; Mammalia; Primates; Hominidae.